This is a small nuclear RNA of Phacochoerus africanus (Common warthog), 106 nucleotides long. The record is from RefSeq and is a predicted model, not a curated record. NCBI's taxonomy places the organism in Eukaryota, Metazoa, Chordata, Mammalia, Artiodactyla, Suidae.
AUACUCACUUUGGCAGCACAUAAACUAAAACUGAAACAGUACAGAAAGAUUAUCAUGGCCCCUGUGCAAGGAUGACAUGCAAAUUCAUGAAGCGUCCACAUUAAAA